UGGGGAAUUUUGGACAAUGGGCGAAAGCCUGAUCCAGCAAUGCCGCGUGUGUGAAGAAGGCCUUCGGGUUGUAAAGCACUUUUGUCCGGAAAGAAAUCCUUGGCUCUAAUACAGUCGGGGGAUGACGGUACCGGAAGAAUAAGCACCGGCUAACUACGUGCCAGCAGCCGCGGUAAUACGUAGGGUGCAAGCGUUAAUCGGAAUUACUGGGCGUAAAGCGUGCGCAGGCGGUUUGCUAAGACCGAUGUGAAAUCCCCGGGCUCAACCUGGGAACUGCAUUGGUGACUGGCAGGCUAGAGUAUGGCANAGGGGGGUAGAAUUCCACGUGUAGCAGUGAAAUGCGUAGAGAUGUGGAGGAAUACGAUGGCGAAGGCAGCCCCCUGGGCCAAUACUGACGCUCAUGCACGAAAGCGUGGGGAGCAAACAGGAUUAGAUACCCUGGUAGUCCACGCCCUAAAACGAUGUCAACUAGUUGUUGGGGGAUUCAUUUCCUUAGUAACGUAGCUAACGCGUGAAGUUGACCGCCUGGGGAGUACGGUCGCAAGAUUAAAACUCAAAGGAAUUGACGGGGUCAUAGCUGUUUCCU
This 586-nucleotide ribosomal RNA is filed under the name uncultured bacterium. RNAcentral describes it as "partial 16S ribosomal RNA". It matches the Rfam family "Bacterial small subunit ribosomal RNA", at positions 355 to 1375 of the family's 1533-position model. The record is from RNAcentral.